This 164-nucleotide ribosomal RNA is filed under the name uncultured bacterium. RNAcentral's name for it is "partial 16S rRNA". It matches the Rfam family "Bacterial small subunit ribosomal RNA", at positions 355 to 511 of the family's 1533-position model. The record is from RNAcentral.
UAGGGAAUCUUCCACAAUGGGCGCAAGCCUGAUGGAGCAACACCGCGUGAGUGAAGAAGGGUUUCGGCUCGUAAAGCUCUGUUGUUAAAGAAGAACACGUAUGAGAGUAACUGUUCAUACGUUGACGGCAUUUAACCAGAAAGUCACGGCUAACUACGCGCCAG